RNAcentral lists this ribosomal RNA (459 nucleotides) under uncultured bacterium. RNAcentral's name for it is "partial 16S ribosomal RNA". It matches the Rfam family "Bacterial small subunit ribosomal RNA", at positions 338 to 795 of the family's 1533-position model. The record is from RNAcentral.
CCUACGGGAGGCAGCAGUGAGGAAUAUUGGUCAAUGGGCGGGAGCCUGAACCAGCCAAGCCGCGUGAGGGAAGAAGGUACAGCGUAUCGUAAACCUCUUUUGUCAGGGAAAAAAAGCGGGGACUAGUCCCCGGAUGAGUGUACCUGAACAAAAAGCAUCGGCUAACUCCGGGCCAGCAGCCGCGGUAGUACGGGGGAUGCGAGCGUUAUACGGAGUUAUUGGGUUUAUGGGGUGCGCGGGCGGCCUGGUAAGUCGGCGGUAAAAGCCGGGGGCUGAGCCCCGGCGAGCCGUUGAAACUGGCGGGCUUGAGUGGGCGAGAAGUACGCGGAAUGCGCGGUGUAGCGGUGAAAUGCUUAGAUAUCGCGCAGAACCCCGAUUGCGAAGGCAGCGUACCGGCUCCACACUGACGCUGAGGCACGAAAGCGUGGGUAUCGAACAGGAUUAGAUACCCCAGUAGUC